CUCCUGUCAGAAUCAGAAACGCUUCCAAUACAUCAAAGAAUACAUUUUAUCGAUAUGGGAGAAGCUAAAGUCUUGAGCCACCUGUCAUUUCUUGAUAUUUUGUUUUCAAGGAGCUGGACUUUCUGUCAUGGUCCUGGGCCAUGCGGGCCCAGUAUUCUCAGUUCCUUGUGUUUUUGUAUUUCAUUCCUUAUUUAGGUCAUGUUUCCUGAGUUGUCCUGUUAUGUUGUUCCUUAUUUGACUUCCCCUUGUGACUCUUAUCCCCUGUGUGCCCCUCUAUGUAUCUGUGAGCCCUCAUCUCCCCUCGUGUUUCAUUCCAUGUUUCCCCAGCCCACUAUGCCCGUGCUCUCUCUCUCCUCCUGUUUGCACCUCUGUGUACUUCCUGUUUUACUUUGACAGUCUCCCGUCAGUGUUGUUUACUCCUGCCAUGUCUUGUUAUGUUUAUCUGUGUCAGCUGUGUUCCCAUGUGUGGCCACUUCCCCUGAUCAUCCCUCUUGUGUAUUUAGUCUCUGUGUUUCAUGUAGUCUGUGUCGCGUCGUCUGUGUUUCCACCCUCUAUGUUUCCAUGCCCGGUCUAUUGUAUUCUUAGUCAUAGCUUUACCUUAGUUAUUCCCAGUUUAGGUUUCCGUUUAGCCACGCUAUCCCUGCUGUAUUUGUAUACCUUGUCAUCAGCCACAAUAAAGGCUCGCUUUUGUUUAAAGUUCACUCCCGCCUGCUCACCUGUGUUCGCACCUGGGUCCACCAUACACACCACCGCACGGUCUGUCACAGCGGACCGUGACACUUUCUUGUACACUUUUAAAAAGUAAUCUUGGGUAAUAGUUUGUGAGGCUGUCUGAAUGUCCUUUACAGUUUUUAUUUGGACACUGGAUGCUUUUUCUCUUAGUUUCAGUCCAGUCCUUGUACCCAAUUAUUUUAGAAUAAUUUUUUUCUGUAUGUUUUUUUUUUUUGUAUUUUUGUUUUUGUGUUUUAAAUCUAUGCAAGCAAUAGAUUCAUUUGAGAAGCAUAAAACAGCAUUUUUGCACCUACAAGGUGAUUCCCAAAGAGUUAUCAGCUGAAAACUUAGCACAUCUUGGCAUGGUUUGCUGUGUGUCCUUUAAAACAAUUGAGGAAGCAGCCUUCAGGAGAGCAGCUGAUUUUGAAGUCCUCUAUGCAAUUCCAGUUCUUACUACUAGCAUUGCAUUUUGUGAUUUUUACCAGACUUGGCAAAGAUAAAGGAGAAACAUCAACUUCUGUAUGGAACUGACCCAAAUUUGUUGAGAAGCUAUUGCUGUGCUGCUGAUGGGAGCUACAGGCAAGCACAGAAGAAUCCACAGUUUCCAAGACAGCACCAAGAGGGAAACAAAACCUGGAGUGUGGUUAGGAUUUCUUUUGACAUUAGCAUGCUUGAGGCUGCCAACAGAGAAAGAAACUAAAUUGUAGUGUGGUAUUCUGCCAUACCACCAUGUGCCUUUUUUUUUUUUUUAAACACCAAUUCAGUCUUUGCUCGCCAUGAGCCCAUUCCUCAGAUUUGCCUCCCCAAAACUUCCAGACAAUCAAAAUCUAGUUAAAGGAUUAUCAUAUCAACACACUUCAGGCGAUCCAGCAUUCAAUAUAGAGGCAAAAAGGUGUAAAUCAACUUCAGCAGAGUGAUCUGAAAGUAGCUGUCCAACAGAAAAUGGUUUAGAGGUGCACCUCAAAAUGAUCUUUAAUGUAUGAGUGUCCAAAUUUUUUAAUUAGACUUGUUUCUUUUUCCUGCACACCUUUUAUUUAGAUCUUUUGUGAAAAAGAAAGCCACACAUUAAAAAAGGCAGCCUCUUUUUAUGUUUUCCAAGUAGAUCCUACUGAGAGUUGGGACCAUAGGCAGACUCAGAAUAUAAUGGAGGGAUUAUAAAACUCAUCUGGUGGAGGAAGACCUCGGGAUUCCCCUGGGAGUUCUGGAGGAUGACAGGAUGGAAGGAUGUCUGGCCUACCUUUGUUUUCCUCUUGUCAAUUGUGGGGCUGAACUUCCACACCCUGGAUA
Long non-coding RNA from Astatotilapia calliptera (eastern happy), 1998 nucleotides. The record is from Ensembl. NCBI's taxonomy places the organism in Eukaryota, Metazoa, Chordata, Actinopteri, Cichliformes, Cichlidae.